UGGAUCCAGACUUUGAUUCUGGCUCAGGAUGAACGCUAGCUACAGGCUUAACACAUGCAAGUCGAGGGGCAGCAUGGUCUUAGCUUGCUAAGGCUGAUGGCGACCGGCGCACGGGUGAGUAACACGUAUCCAACCUGCCGUCUACUCUUGGACAGCCUUCUGAAAGGAAGAUUAAUACAAGAUGGCAUCAUGAGUCCGCAUGUUCACAUGAUUAAAGGUAUUCCGGUAGACGAUGGGGAUGCGUUCCAUUAGAUAGUAGGCGGGGUAACGGCCCACCUAGUCUUCGAUGGAUAGGGGUUCUGAGAGGAAGGUCCCCCACAUUGGAACUGAGACACGGUCCAAACUCCUACGGGAGGCAGCAGUGAGGAACAUUGGUCAAUGGGCGAGAGCCUGAACCAGCCAAGUAGCGUGAAGGAUGACUGCCCUAUGGGUUGUAAACUUCUUUUAUAAAGGAAUAAAGUCGGGUAUGCAUACCCGUUUGCAUGUACUUUAUGAAUAAGGAUCGGCUAACUCCGUGCCAGCAGCCGCGGUAAUACGGAGGAUUCGAGCGUUAUCCGGAUUUAUUGGGUUUAAAGGGAGCGUAGAUGGAUGUUUAAGUCAGUUGUGAAAGUUUGCGGCUCAACCGUAAAAUUGCAGUUGAUACUGGAUAUCUUGAGUGCAGUUGAGGCAGGCGGAAUUCGUGGUGUAGCGGUGAAAUGCUUAGAUAUCACGAAGAACUCCGAUUGCGAAGGCAGCCUGCUAAGCUGCAACUGACAUUGAGGCUCGAAAGUGUGGGUAUCAAACAGGAUUAGAUACCCUGGUAGUCCACACGGUAAACGAUGAAUACUCGCUGUUUGCGAUAUACAGCAAGCGGCCAAGCGAAAGCGUUAAGUAUUCCACCUGGGGAGUACGCCGGCAACGGUGCAACUCAAAGGAAUUGACGGA
RNAcentral lists this ribosomal RNA (924 nucleotides) under uncultured Bacteroidota bacterium. RNAcentral describes it as "bacterial SSU rRNA". It matches the Rfam family "Bacterial small subunit ribosomal RNA", at positions 1 to 917 of the family's 1533-position model. The record is from RNAcentral. Lineage: Bacteria; Pseudomonadati; Bacteroidota.